CUACGGGGGGCAGCAGGUAAGGAAAUUUUGCAAUGCGCGAAAGCGUGACAGAGCAAGCCAGAGUGUUUCUCUUUUUGAGAAACUUUUGUUAGCUGUAAAAGGCUGAUGAAUAAGGACUGGCAAGACCGGUGCCAGCCGCGCGGUAAUACCGGCGGUCCAAGUCGCAGCCACAUUUAUUGGGUCUAAAACAUUCGUAGCUUGCUGUGUAAGUCUCUUGUGAAAUCCUACAUCUCAAGUGUAGGGCGGGCAGGGGAUACUGCGCAGCUAGAGACCGGAGGGUGUAAAGAGUAUGAUUGGGGUAGUGGUAAAAUACGUUAAUCCUAAUCAGACUAACAAUAGCGAAGGCACUUUACAACGACGGAUCUGACAGUGAGGGAUGAAGGCUAGGGGCGCAAAACGGAUUAGAUACCCUCGUAGUC
This 419-nucleotide ribosomal RNA is filed under the name uncultured archaeon. RNAcentral describes it as "partial 16S ribosomal RNA". It matches the Rfam family "Archaeal small subunit ribosomal RNA", at positions 323 to 746 of the family's 1478-position model. The record is from RNAcentral.